This is a non-coding RNA of Hordeum vulgare subsp. vulgare (domesticated barley), 125 nucleotides long. NCBI's taxonomy places the organism in Eukaryota, Viridiplantae, Streptophyta, Magnoliopsida, Poales, Poaceae. The record is from Rfam.
UAAAUACUCCCUCCGUCCGCAAAUACUUGUCAUAAGAAUGGAUGUAUCUAAAUGUAUUUUAGGUCUUGAUACAUCCAUUUCCAUCCAUUUAUGCGACAAGUAAUUUUGGAUGGAGGGAGUAGUUC